This 22-nucleotide microRNA is filed under the name Haemonchus contortus (barber pole worm). RNAcentral's name for it is "hco-miR-5915". The record is from miRBase by way of RNAcentral. Lineage: Eukaryota; Metazoa; Nematoda; Chromadorea; Rhabditida; Trichostrongylidae.
UUAAGUAGUGACGCCAUUGUAA